CUAACGAUUGAUCUAGUUAUUUAGAAAGAUGAAGAUUAUGAAAUAAUAAUAUAUAUAUAUAUAAUAUAUAUAUAUAUAAAAAACAAUAAUAAUGAAGAAUAUAAAAUCUUGAUAUAUAAAUAUAAUAAUGAUAUAAUAUAUAUUGAAGUCUUAACCAAAAUUAGUGCCAGCAGUUGCGGCUAAACUAAGAAGGCAAACGUUAAUCAUUAAUGGCUUAAAGGAUCCGUAGAAUGUUAUAUAAUAAAAUAUAAUAGAGUUAAAUAAAAGAAUAAUGAAUAAUUAUAGGGAGAGAUGAAAUGUUAGGAUAAUAAUUAGACAUACAAAAGUGAAGAUUUUAUUCAAUAUUUAACUGACAUUGAGGGAUGAAGGCAUGAGAAGCAAAACGGAUUAGAUACCCGAGUAGUUCAUGCAGUAAACUAUGAAUACUAAAUAUAUUAAUAAAUAUAAUAUUACAAGCGAAGGCUUAAGUAUUCCGCCAGGUGAG
Molecule: ribosomal RNA, 484 nt
Filed under: [Candida] boidinii
Lineage: Eukaryota; Fungi; Ascomycota; Pichiomycetes; Pichiales; Pichiaceae
Description: partial small subunit ribosomal RNA
Rfam family: Bacterial small subunit ribosomal RNA (bases 212-477)
Source: RNAcentral